GUGGCCGGUAGCUACCAUGCAAGUCGAACGGCAGCACAGGAGAGCUUGCUCCCUGGGUGGCGAGUGGCGGACGGGUGAGGAAUACAUCGGAAUCUACUUUUUCGUGGGGGAUAACGUAGGGAAACUUACGCUAAUACCGCAUACGACCUACGGGUGAAAGCAGGGGACCUUCGGGCCUUGCGCGAUUGAAUGAGCCGAUGUCGGAUUAUCUAGUUGGCGGGGUAAAGGCCCACCAAGGCGACAAUCCGUAGCUGGUCUGAGAGGAUGAUCACCCACACUGGAACUGAGACACGGUCCACACUCCUACGGGAGGCAGCAGUGGGGAAUAUUGGACAAUGGGCGCAAGCCUGAUCCCGCCAUACCGCGUGGGUGAAAAAAGCCUUCGGGUUGUAAAGCCCUUUUGUUGGGAAAGAAAUCCCGCUGGCUAAUACCCGGUUGGGAUGACGGUACCCAAAGAAUAAGCACCGGCUAACUUCGUGCCAGCAGCCGCGGUAAUACGAAGGGUGCAAGCGUUACUCGCAAUUACUGGGCGUAAAGCGUGCGUAGGUGGUCGUUUAAGUCCGUUGUGAAAGCCCUGGGCUCAACCUGGGAACUGCAGUGGAUACUGGGCGACUAGAGUGUGGUAGAGAGUAGCGCAAAUCCUGGUGUAUCAGUGAAAUGCGUAUAGAUCACGAGGAAAUCCAUGUCGAAGGCAGCUACCUGGGCCAACACUGACACUGAGGCACGAAAGCGUGGGGAGCAAACAGGAUUAUAUACCCUGUGAGUCCACGCCCUAUACGAUGCGAACUGUAUGUUGUGUGCGAUUUGUGACGCAGUAUCGAAGCUAUCGCGUUAAGUUCGCCGCCUGGGAGUACGGUCGCAAGACUGAGACUCACAGGAGUUGACGGGGGGCCCGCACAGCGCUGGAGUAUGUGUUUAAUUUCGAUGCACGCGAGACCUUACCUGGGCUUGACAUGUCUAGAA
RNAcentral lists this ribosomal RNA (963 nucleotides) under Stenotrophomonas sp. RNAcentral's name for it is "bacterial SSU rRNA". It matches the Rfam family "Bacterial small subunit ribosomal RNA", at positions 39 to 995 of the family's 1533-position model. The record is from RNAcentral. Lineage: Bacteria; Pseudomonadati; Pseudomonadota; Gammaproteobacteria; Lysobacterales; Lysobacteraceae.